CAUAUCAAUAAGCGGAGGAAAAGAAACCAACAGGGAUUGCCCUAGUAACGGCGAGUGAAGCGGCAACAGCUCCAAAUUUGAAAUCCUGGCGUCUUUGGCGUCCGAGUUGUAAUUUGCAGAGGGCGCUUUGGCAUUGGCAGCGGUCCAAGUUCCUUGGAACAGGACGUCACAGAGGGUGAGAAUCCCGUACGUGGUCGCUAGCCUUUACCGUGUAAAGCCCCUUCGACGAGUCGAGUUGUUUGGGAAUGCAGCUCUAAAUGGGAGGUAAAUUUCUUCUAAAGCUAAAUACUGGCCAGAGACCGAUAGCGCACAAGUAGAGUGAUCGAAAGAUGAAAAGCACUUUGGAAAGAGAGUUAAAAAGCACGUGAAAUUGUUGAAAGGGAAGCGCUUGCAGCCAGACUUGCCUGUAGUUGCUCAUCCGGGUUUUUACCCGGUGCACUCUUCUAUAGGCAGGCCAGCAUCAGUUUGGGCGGUUGGAUAAAGGUCUCUGUCAUGUACCUCUCUUCGGGGAGAACUUAUAGGGGAGACGACAUGCAACCAGCCUGGACUGAGGUCCGCGCAUCUGCUAGGAUGCUGGCGUAAUGGCUGUAAGCGGCCCGUCUUGAAACACGGACCAAGGAGUCUAACAUCUAUGCGAGUGUUUGGGUGUCAAGCCCGAACGCGUAAUGAAAGUGAACGGAGGUGGGAACCUUUCGGGGUGCACCAUCGACCGAUCCUGAUGUCUUCGGAUGGAUUUGAGUAAGAGCAUAGCUGUUGGGACCCGAAAGAUGGUGAACUAUGCUUGAAUAGGGUGAAGCCAGAGGAAACUCUGGUGGAGGCUCGCAGCGGUUCUGACGUGCAAAUCGAUCGUCAAAUUUGGGCAUAGGGGCGAAAGACUAAUCGAACUAUCUAGUAG
This 895-nucleotide small RNA is filed under the name Phoma herbarum. Its description in RNAcentral is "eukaryotic LSU rRNA". It matches the Rfam family "Eukaryotic large subunit ribosomal RNA", at positions 39 to 950 of the family's 3401-position model. Lineage: Eukaryota; Fungi; Ascomycota; Dothideomycetes; Pleosporales; Didymellaceae. The record is from RNAcentral.